AGAGUUUGAUCAUGGCUCAGAUUGAACGCUGGCGGCAGGCCUAACACAUGCAAGUCGAACGGUAGCACAGAAGAGCUUGCUCUUCGGGUGACGAGCGGCGGACGGGUGAGUAAUGUCUGGGAAACUGCCUGAUGGAGGGGGAUAACUACUGGAAACGGUAGCUAAUACCGCAUAAUGUCGCAAGACCAAAGAGGGGGACCUUCGGGCCUCUUGCCAUCAGAUGUGCCCAGAUGGGAUUAGCUAGUAGGUGGGGUAAUGGCUCACCUAGGCGACGAUCCCUAGCUGGUCUGAGAGGAUGACCAGCCACACUGGAACUGAGACACGGUCCAGACUCCUACGGGAGGCAGCAGUGGGGAAUAUUGGACAAUGGGCGAAAGCCUGAUCCAGCCAUGCCGCGUGUGUGAAGAAGGUCUUCGGAUUGUAAAGCACUUUAAGUUGGGAGGAAGGGCAGUAAAUUAAUACUUUGCUGUUUUGACGUUACCGACAGAAUAAGCACCGGCUAACUCUGUGCCAGCCGCCGCGGUAA
Molecule: ribosomal RNA, 526 nt
Filed under: uncultured Pseudomonas sp.
Lineage: Bacteria; Pseudomonadati; Pseudomonadota; Gammaproteobacteria; Pseudomonadales; Pseudomonadaceae
Description: bacterial SSU rRNA
Rfam family: Bacterial small subunit ribosomal RNA
Source: RNAcentral